UCGUUCGCCGGCGGAUGUAGCCAAGUGGAUCAAGGCAGUGGAUUGUGGAUCCACCAUGCGCGGGUUCAAUUCCCG
Molecule: transfer RNA, 75 nt
Filed under: Brexia madagascariensis
Lineage: Eukaryota; Viridiplantae; Streptophyta; Magnoliopsida; Celastrales; Celastraceae
Also listed under: 19 other names
Description: tRNA-His
Rfam family: tRNA (bases 11-75)
About the family: Transfer RNA (tRNA) molecules are approximately 80 nucleotides in length.
Source: RNAcentral